AUACUUAUCUGUCAGAGGAGAUACCAGGAUCAAGAAGGUGGUUCACACACAGCGAGGCUUAGCCAAUGCACUCCGGCUGAGCUGCGAAUUCCCCAAAUGUGUGAAUCUCGACAGUUUAUCUC
Molecule: small nuclear RNA, 122 nt
Filed under: Cottoperca gobio
Lineage: Eukaryota; Metazoa; Chordata; Actinopteri; Perciformes; Bovichtidae
Description: U1 spliceosomal RNA (ENSCGOG00000021926.1)
Rfam family: U1 spliceosomal RNA
About the family: U1 is a small nuclear RNA (snRNA) component of the spliceosome (involved in pre-mRNA splicing). Its 5' end forms complementary base pairs with the 5' splice junction, thus defining the 5' donor site of an intron. There are significant differences in sequence and secondary structure between metazoan and yeast U1 snRNAs, the latter being much longer (568 nucleotides as compared to 164 nucleotides in human).
Source: RNAcentral